Apaloderma vittatum (bar-tailed trogon) is the source of this 73-nucleotide non-coding RNA. Lineage: Eukaryota; Metazoa; Chordata; Aves; Trogoniformes; Trogonidae. The record is from Rfam.
GGCCGGUUGGCUCAGUUGGUUGAGCAUGGCACUAACAAUGCCAAGGCCGUGGGUUUGAUUCCCGUGCAGUCCC